RNAcentral lists this ribosomal RNA (460 nucleotides) under uncultured bacterium. RNAcentral describes it as "partial 16S ribosomal RNA". It matches the Rfam family "Bacterial small subunit ribosomal RNA", at positions 338 to 795 of the family's 1533-position model. The record is from RNAcentral.
CCUACGGGGGGCAGCAGUGAGGAAUAUUGGUCAAUGGGCGCUAGCCUGAACCAGCCAAGUAGCGUGAAGGAUGACUGCCCUAUGGGUUGUAAACUUCUUUUAUAUGGGAAUAAAGUGCAGUAUGUAUACUGCUUUGCAUGUACCUUAUGAAUAAGGAUCGGCUAACUCCGUGCCAGCAGCCGCGGUAAUACGGAGGAUCCGAGCGUUAUCCGGAUUUAUUGGGUUUAAAGGGAGCGUAGGUGGAUUGUUAAGUCAGUUGUGAAAGUUUGCGGCUCAACCGUAAAAUUGCAGUUGAAACUGGCAGUCUUGAGUACAGUAGAGGUGGGCGGAAUUCGUGGUGUAGCGGUGAAAUGCUUAGAUAUCACGAAGAACUCCGAUUGCGAAGGCAGCUCACUGGACUGCAACUGACACUGAGGCUCGAAAGUGUGGGUAUCAAACAGGAUUAGAUACCCUUGUAGUC